AUCUAAUCCAACCGUCCACCUGCCGCCAGUAUUACCACGAACCAUGUCCCUCAGUGACGCAUCAUAUCUCCGCGUUUCUUGAAUUCGGUGCCUCCCCCACCUCCUGAGGCUCCUAUUUAUCUCCACUCCUCCCGAGGAGAAGUUGUUCCUGAUGUUCAAUCUGACACUGAGCCCUCUUCCUUCCCCAAGUCCCGAGAGAGGUGAUAGGGGACCGGGGCUGCUUACCACCGAGGCACCACGAGUUGGGUGGUGGUGCAGUGAAUGAGGGCUUGGUUCAUGUCACACCAAAGGGAUUGGGAGAAAAAUCAAGGGAAGAGAUGGGGUCUUUUACUGGAGCAACCAACAAGCAUACACCUAGAAGGAAGACCAGACCUUUGUUUUCCAGCAAACAUCUUCCAGAGCUGUAAGCAUCCUCAUCAGAUAAAAGCCAUCUCCGGAUUGUUUGUGAGCACUGACCUUGGGUGUCCUCAUGCACAGAGCAGGUAUGCUGGUGCUGAUGGUAUAUGCAGAUGUUACUGCCUGGAAGCUGACAUUCUUCAUGUUGACUGUGAUGCUAGAAUGUAGAGGUGAGCAGGGUAAUAUACCAGGGACAAGUUUAAUAGAAUAGGAAUAAUUACAGAACUGGGCACUGAAAAAGUCAGCAGAGGAAGGGAGGUUUUCUAGCCAUCAGUGCAGUUUACACGUGCUACAAAAAGCUUAGUAGAAUAUUUCUUUAAAGCUCUUCCUCACAGUGGUUUAUGAAAACACUGGGUCAUUUUGACUCUCCAAUUUUCUAAUUUUGGGGGGAUACAACUGCAAAUGAGGGCGAGGUAGCAACACAUCGCCUUUAGAGCUGAACAAAUGAAUGGGACGUGCUCCUGCCACAAACCACACAGUGCUGCCUGUAGGCAUGCAACACAAAUGUGACUAGGGUUAUGUAGAAAUGAACAGUGAAUGUUCUCCGCUUUUAAAAUCAAGUGGCAAAGUGCUUAACAUCAAAUGAAAUGGAGAGGUCACUUAUCAAUACUUUCAGACAUUAUUGUACAAGCAAGUUGAAAGAAUUGGUUUAAUCAUUAGGGAACCAAAUGAAAACAAUGGGGCGUUUACAUUGAAUUAGCAGGGAUAUUUAUAACAUUUAAUGAAAAGAUUUUCACAGCAGUUUUAUUACCGUGCAAUCAAUAUGGCUAAAAUAACCUGAUUUAGCCAGAAAGUCAAUAUGCAGUGAUUAAGCAAAUUCCACAAAUGACAUGCAAUCCCAUUAGCACUACCAAGCCAAAUUCUCUGCACUUUGAAGCAAGAAAACAAUGGGGCUUUUCAGUUAAUUAUCCAGGCACUGAACGAUGCUAGACAGCUCUCCAGUGGAGUUAAAGGAAAUGUGAGCUGGCACUGGCUGGGGAGAAGGAAGGGCUCAUUCAUCUUCAGAGAGACAAGGGAAGCAACGUGGCUGCAUGAGAUGAGCACAGCUUGUCUCUCACCUUGCAGAGCUCUCAAGGGGGCUUGUUUCACCUGGAAUUGAUACAGUAUGGAAGUGUGUUAGGUCGUUUUGCUCUCCAUUCCUGGCAAGGAAGAUUAUGCAGAGAAAGGG
Molecule: long non-coding RNA, 1564 nt
Filed under: Phasianus colchicus (ring-necked pheasant)
Lineage: Eukaryota; Metazoa; Chordata; Aves; Galliformes; Phasianidae
Description: lncRNA (ENSPCLG00000015850.1)
Source: RNAcentral